This 253-nucleotide ribosomal RNA is filed under the name uncultured bacterium. RNAcentral's name for it is "partial 16S ribosomal RNA". It matches the Rfam family "Bacterial small subunit ribosomal RNA", at positions 524 to 776 of the family's 1533-position model. The record is from RNAcentral.
UACGGAGGGUGCGAUCGUUAUUCGGAAUUACUGGGCGUAAAGAGUACGUAGGCGGUUUGAUAAGUCAGGUGUGAAAUGCUUGGGCUUAACCUGAGAAUUGCAUUUGAUACUGUUAAUCUAGAGUUUAGGUGAGGAAGGCGGAAUUUCGGGUGUAGCGGUGAAAUGCGUAGAUAUCCCGAGGAACAUCAGUGGCGAAGGCGGGAUUCUGGGCUAAGACUGACACUGAGGUGCGAAAGCGUGGGGAGCGAACAGG